This 360-nucleotide small RNA is filed under the name Pongo abelii (Sumatran orangutan). RNAcentral describes it as "retained intron". Lineage: Eukaryota; Metazoa; Chordata; Mammalia; Primates; Hominidae. The record is from RNAcentral.
UGGGCAUUGCUGCGCUAAGGAGAGUCUUAACAGCUUAUGCUUUUCGAAAUCCCAACAUAGGGUAUUGCCAGGCCAUGAAUAUUGUCACUUCAGUGCUGCUGCUUUAUGCCAAAGAGGAGGAAGCUUUCUGGCUGCUUGUGGCUUUGUGUGAGCGCAUGCUCCCAGAUUACUACAACACCAGAGUUGUGGGUAAGUGGAGAUGCAUUUAACAUUUCAACCUAUGUCUCGUCAACAAGAUGCUUUUAGAGAGGUGCCAGCUUGAACACUAUUUCUGGUCACCAUAAGCCAAAAGAGUUUCAAACUACUCCAGUUUUUCAAAAUGGAAAUGAGAGAGGUUGAAUAAAUAUAGGUUGUAUACAA